UACGAAGGGGGCUAGCGUUGCUCGGAAUCACUGGGCGUAAAGCGCACGUAGGCGGAUCUUUAAGUCAGAGGUGAAAUCCCAAGGCUCAACCUUGGAACUGCCUUUGAUACUGGGGAUCUCGAGUCCGGAAGAGGUGAGUGGAACUGCGAGUGUAGAGGUGAAAUUCGUAGAUAUUCGCAAGAACACCAGUGGCGAAGGCGGCUCACUGGCCCGAUACUGACGCUGAGGCACGAAAGCGUGGGGAGCAAACAGG
RNAcentral lists this ribosomal RNA (253 nucleotides) under uncultured bacterium. RNAcentral's name for it is "partial 16S ribosomal RNA". It matches the Rfam family "Bacterial small subunit ribosomal RNA", at positions 524 to 776 of the family's 1533-position model. The record is from RNAcentral.